RNAcentral lists this transfer RNA (87 nucleotides) under Phycisphaeraceae bacterium. RNAcentral describes it as "tRNA-Ser". It matches the Rfam family "tRNA". Rfam says of the family: Transfer RNA (tRNA) molecules are approximately 80 nucleotides in length. Their secondary structure includes four short double-helical elements and three loops (D, anti-codon, and T loops). RNAcentral also lists the same sequence under 2 other names. Lineage: Bacteria; Pseudomonadati; Planctomycetota; Phycisphaerae; Phycisphaerales; Phycisphaeraceae. The record is from RNAcentral.
GGUGGGGUGGCAGAGCGGUUGAACGCGCCGGACUUGAAAUCCGGUAUGCCCCUCGGGGCAUCAGGGGUUCGAAUCCCCUCCCCACCG